Non-coding RNA from Anas platyrhynchos (mallard), 770 nucleotides. Lineage: Eukaryota; Metazoa; Chordata; Aves; Anseriformes; Anatidae. The record is from RefSeq and is a predicted model, not a curated record.
UGCAAAAGUUAUCUAGGGUUGGUGCUAACUUCCUGUGCGGAGAGAGGAAGUGAAGUGAGAUGCAGAGAAACUCCAUAGAGGCACCAGUGGGUGGCCAGCAGAGACAGCUUACAGAUCUUCAGCAGAAGAAAUCUUUGCAAUGCAGCAAUAAGAUUGGACUAGACACAACUGGAGACUGCCUCACUCAAAACCGGGGAAAGUGAAAUGGGAAGGAUUUUGGUACAUUCCAGUGUGACAAAAGGAGGGGGGAAGGUACCUCUGUGAGUGUAAACAGGAGCAACUACAAAAGGAUAAGUAAUACCUCCAGGAUAUUUCCCAUGCUCAUGUAGAUGUUUCUGCAGCAACAACAACAUGCAACAUAUGACUUCUGGUCAUUCCUGGUUUACAAAUAACAAAUGCAAGUGAUAUAUGUUUAAUUCUACACUAUUGAAAAUGUUUAGGGCUUUCAGGAAAACAAAAAAAAAACAAGCAAAAUAGUAACAAAUGACAUUAGAACUGAAGGCCGUAUCCCUUCAGACACAGGCAACUUUAGUUUAAGAAUUCUCGCACCACAGAGUGAAAAUGUCACAUGGUCAAGCUUCAGAUGAAAUCAGCCCAUGGAUUGUACAUGUAAAUUGCAUUGCAGCCUUAACUUAUGCAGAGAAGUAAUGACCAGCAUGAAAUAGCAAGUGGUAAUGAAAUAUGAAUUACUGUUGCAGAGAAAAAUAUCCAGGUAUUGGAAGAUAAUAUUUUAGAUGUAAGCAGUAAAUAAACUGGUUUUAUCAUGUGUU